This 72-nucleotide transfer RNA is filed under the name Camelus bactrianus (Bactrian camel). It matches the Rfam family "tRNA". Rfam says of the family: Transfer RNA (tRNA) molecules are approximately 80 nucleotides in length. Their secondary structure includes four short double-helical elements and three loops (D, anti-codon, and T loops). RNAcentral also lists the same sequence under 1 other name. The record is from Rfam by way of RNAcentral. Lineage: Eukaryota; Metazoa; Chordata; Mammalia; Artiodactyla; Camelidae.
GAGGGCAUAGCUCAGUGGUAGAGUGCAUGCGUAGCAAGCAUGAGGUCCUUGGUUCAAUCCCCAGUACCUCCA